CAGCAAUUGUAGCAUCUGUAGUCGGUGAUAGCUAAUGCGUUGCUUGAAUCAUGCAAGAGCUUCACAUGAGAAGAAGAGAGCCAAAGGUAGCCAAGGACAAACUUGCCAGCAACUCGCAAACAAGGAGAUUUUGUUACAAGGCAAUGCCGGCAAGUCAUCCUUGGCUGCAUUCCACUCUCUGCCUCUUCAUGCAAAGCCCUCAGCAAGCAUCUUCAUUCCCUUAUUCCCCUCUAGCAGGUAUGCAGCCCUUUCCUCUCCAUAGCAGGUACGCAACCCUUUCCUCUCCAUAGCAUUCCAUCUUGCAACUUCUACUACGUGUUCUGGACAGAUGAAAGAGUUGGUAUAUAUAGGCCAGGGUAGUGUGUUGGUAAUUCAUGGAAUGUGCCUGAUCCUUCUGGUUCCUGUGGAUAGCCAAUGGGGUGAUACGGAGAGGAAUUCCCCAAAGUAUGUGAUACGCGCUGCCUAUUAGGAGAUAUUCCAAUUUUGGUAUUAUGCUGACUUGCUGAGGUCUCAAAAUGGACAAGUGGUCCAAUCUCCAUUACUCAUGGGAUUUUAGGCCUUAUAAGAAGGCUGUGAAGGUGGUCUGUGGGGGCGGUUUUCUUCUUGCGAUGUUUGGUAGGCUGUCAUGGGAAUAGAAUCAUGGGUGGAGGCCACACUGAGAUAUGGAGAGGGGUCAUGUGUGUCUCGUGAUUUCAAGGAUGAGUCAUAAGAUCCGCUUCUUAUUGACUCUGUCAAAUUUCAUAGCUUGCAUAAUUUGAAAGAGUGUUUUCACUCCCUUUUCUGUACUAUUUUCUCCAGAUUUUAUGCAUUGAUUGGUUUAGUUGCCUUAAAUCUCAUAGGCUUCCUUAGUUGUCAUUGAGAAAACAUCUGAUGUAAGUGCCAUUGCUGCCAGGUCCUUUCUGUAGAUGCUUCUACCACAACCUACCAUCAAUGAGUUUGAUAUCCUUUUUUGCUUCCAGUCAUAUAAGAAUUCACAAUAAACUAUUAUAGGAGUUUUAUUAUUGGGUCAUUUUAGGUCAUCUCAGGACAUCGUAGUUAAUUCCUUCAUUCCUUGGAAAGGUAAUAUAUACUUGAUAAUAAGGCGGGAGGUGACAGUGAUCAGUUCAUGAUUGGAAGGCCAAUUGUAGGAUUGAAAUGGUCAGGAAAAUCUUGUAGAAUUCUUGAUCAAUAAGAUUUUGAAUAAAUUGGAGAUCUGUCAUGGCUCAUCUGUAGUAUUUAGUCUUCCAUUUGUUUCGUCAGUGAAUAUGUUAUUUGGAUGGGCAUUUUUCUUGUCAGGUUGCGACUGAAGGGUGUCAUCCACUUGGUCCACUUGGACAAGUGGGAGGCUGAAUACCCCUUUGACAUUAAAGAGGGUCAUUGGAAAUACGUAAUUUAUUUCCACGAAUUUGAACAUCUUUUUUCGUUAGAUCUCGUGGGACACAGUCCUUUCCCACAGGCUAUUUAGGUUCGUCCAAUAUAGAAUUGCUAAACCCUUUUUAUUGCUUGUCGAGGAAUCAGAUUCUAUCAAAUAUAAAGGUUAGGGCCAGAAGUCUCAAUCUCUGAGACGUCUCUUUAACCUCCCACUUGCCUUAUUCUUUAACUCCAUUUCUUUUCGAGCUUGCCCCCUUUUUGGUGUUUUCUUCCAGUAAGAUUAGAGGACAAGUAGUCCAGCAUUUUAUAAUGCAUCUGUCAGCUAAAAUGUAUAUAUAUUAUAUAUAUUGAAAAAUGGAAUAGUUGUGUCCCUUAUAUCUUAGAUCUCGAUUUUUUUUUAAAUGCAAUAUUUUUUAUUUCAAGAAAAAAAAUACUACUCAGCUUAAUUCAUGAUUGGUUAUCUCGAUGAUGGAUGUUUAUAAAAUGUCAGAGUCGCAGAGUUAUGCAUCUUUUUGGCCCCAAUUCUGAAGAUUAAUUUGUGAAUUUGAUAUUCCAUACAAGCGCUGAAGACCUCUUGGUUUCGGAAUCAUCCUGCAAGUUACUUCUCAGAGAAGGCUAAUCAUCCGCCAGUGUGGCCACCAGCCUAAAUCAUUACAAAUAGGACAACACCUGCAAAAGAGGGAAACAGUAGAUCAUAUCCGUAACUUUGGUCGGGUUCACUGUCAAUGGUUCCUGUUCAUUGAAUUGCUCUGGUCACUGACGUAGUCAGGUCCUUCACAUGGCAGCAUAUAUUAUUACUGUGUUCUAUUUCCAAGUUGGUUCCGUACUAUUUCUUUAUUAUACGUGCAUGACAGCAUAUAUUACUUGUUAUUUCUUUAUUCUUCGGUGAAAGAAGCUUUUUUGGUGCAUCGACAAAAAUCUUUGCAUGGAAGUGCAGAGGAUAUGAUAGUUUAAAUUACUGGGCUUUCUGGUGUGCAGCUCAGCCAUUGGGCCUGUCGGCCACUCAAGUUGUACCUCGUGCGGUGUGGUUCUUCUCUAGUUAGUGCGAUGAUGGGCUGGCCCUUCUCUUGCAGAGGAGCAUGGCUGGCCAAAUCUUGUGCUUGUUUUGAGGGCAUUUUGAGGGAGUCAAACCUUUUGAGCAUUAAGGAAGAACUUUAAUUUAAGGAUUAAAGGACAAUGCCGAAUCUUUUUAUCUCCCCUCUCCUUUCUGUGCAUGACCAAAAUCUCACAUUUCACCGGCUCUCCAAAAUUCCAUUGGCAUGUUUGUCCCAUUAGUUAUAGUCCAAAGCGUUGAGUAUCCUUAGAACCCCAUAACAGUGGCAGUACUCUCUCGGAGGUCACAAUCAAAUCUCAGUUUAUCGUCCUUCUCCUUUUGGCACUUUUUUGUUGUUGCACAGGAUUAGAAGGGAUGCUGUGGCUGGUAAUGUUGAAAUGUUUUACGGUCCAGCCUCACAGGUUUAAUGGAAAGUAUAUGGCUUUUGAUACAAGCAGGUUGGUCCAAACCAUUCCAUCAGAUCAUGAGAAGUUCGAUCUCUUUGCAUGUCAAGCUACUUCAUCUUUGGGAAAGCAAGGAUGUGGAGGACCUUAGCGGAGUGCCACCGGUUACAGAAGCACACGAUAGAGGGGGCCAAGUUCCACCUGUUCUCGCCUUCCACUGCCGCACUCUAGGCGGAGCUGCAGGACUGGCUUCUUGCCUCGGGGCCUGGUUCCAGGCCCAGCGGUGCUCGCCCGCUAACCCUUGAGGCCGGCCUCCAUCCCCCAGCCGUUCCGUCAACGGCGAUGAACGGGAUGGAGAUGUAACAGAUGUUCGCGUCGGUGGCGGCAGAGAGGGAGUAAUUAGAACCGGGGCGGAGUAAUUAGAAGCCAGGCACGAAUGUGGCCGACGGUGGACUUGGGCGAGACUAAGGGCGAGUCAACGUGUGGUUUGACCGAUAGUGGCUACCGAGUUGGAGGUUGUUUUAGUUUGACUCGGCCAUCAGAUUCAUGUAUAAAUGGCUGUGAUGGCAUAGGACAAAAUAUAAUUGAUAAGAAAAGUAU
Long non-coding RNA from Musa acuminata AAA Group (dessert banana), 3387 nucleotides. RefSeq lists it as uncharacterized. The record is from RefSeq and is a predicted model, not a curated record. Lineage: Eukaryota; Viridiplantae; Streptophyta; Magnoliopsida; Zingiberales; Musaceae. The transcript has 3 exons.